GACCGAGUAAGCUAACCAACAAGCUAUUGGGCUCAUAACCCAAAAAUGAUAAAUUCCUCUGUUA
RNAcentral lists this transfer RNA (64 nucleotides) under Hyriopsis bialata. RNAcentral describes it as "tRNA-Met". The record is from RNAcentral. Lineage: Eukaryota; Metazoa; Mollusca; Bivalvia; Unionida; Unionidae.